Molecule: long non-coding RNA, 4203 nt
Organism: Oncorhynchus mykiss (rainbow trout)
Lineage: Eukaryota; Metazoa; Chordata; Actinopteri; Salmoniformes; Salmonidae
Source: Ensembl
AUGCCCGUCAUCACUCUCUCUCAUCACUCCCUAUGCCCGUCAUCACUCUCUCUCAUCACUCCCUAUGCCCGUCAUCACUCUCUCUCAUCACUCCCUAUGCCCGUCAUCACUCUCUCUCAUCACUCCCUAUGCCCGUCAUCCCUCUCACUCCCAAUGCCCGUCAUCCCUCUCUCUCAUCACUCCCUAUGCCCGUCAUCACUCUCUCUCAUCACUCCCUAUGCCCGUCAUCACUCUAUCCCUCUCAUUCCCUAUGCCCGUCAUCCCUCUAUCCCUCUCACUCCCUAUGCCCGUCAUCACUCUCAUCACCCCCUAUGCCCGUCAUCCCUCUAUCCCUCUCACUCCCUAUGCCCGUCAUCACUCUCUCUCAUCACCCCCUAUGCCCGUCAUCUCUCUCACUCCCUAUGCCUGUCAUCCCUCUAUCCCUCUCACUCCCUAUGCCCGUCAUCCCUCUAUCCCUCUCACUCCCUAUGCCCGUCAUCCCUCUAUCCCUCUCACUCCCUAUGCCCGUCAUCCCUCUAUCCCUCACUCCCUAUGCCCAUCAUCCCUCUAUCCCUCACUCCCUAUGCCCGUCACUCUAUCCCUCUCACUCCCUAUGCCCAUCAUCCCUCUCACUCCCUAUUCCCGUCAUCACUCUCUCUCAUCACUCCCUAUGCCCGUCAUCACUCUCUCUCAUCACUCCCUAUGCCCGUCAUCCCUCUCACUCCCUAUGCCCGUCAUCCCUCUAUCCCUCUCACUCCCUAUGCCCGUCAUUCCUCUAUCCCUCUCACUCCCUAUGCCCGUCAUCACUCUCUCUCAUCACUCCCUAUGCCCGUCAUCACUCUCUCUCAUCACUCCCUAAGCCCGUCAUCACUCUAUCCCUCUCACUCCCUAUGCCCGUCAUCCCUCUAUCCCUCUCACUCCCUAUGCCCGUCAUCCCUCUAUCCCUCUCACUCCCUAUGCCCGUCAUCUCUCUCUCAUCACUCCCUAUGUCCGUCAUCACUCUCUCUCAUCACUCCCUAUGCCCGUCAUCCCUCUAUCCCUCUCACUCCCUAUGCCCGUCAUUCCUCUCACUCCCUAUGCCCGUCAUCACUCUCUCUCAUCACUCCCUAUGCCCGUCAUCACUCUAUCCCUCUCACUCCCUAUGCCCGUCAUCCCUCUAUCCCUCUCACUCCCUAUGCCCGUCAUUCCUCUCACUCCCUAUGCCCGUCAUCCCUCUAUCCCUCUCACUCCCUAUGCCCGUCAUCCCUCUAUCCCUCUCACUCCCUAUGCCCGUCAUCCCUCUCACUCCCUAUGCCCGUCAUCACUCUCUCUCAUCACCCCCUAUGCCCGUCAUCCCUCUAUCCCUCUCACCCCCUAUGCCCGUCAUCCCUCUAUCCCUCUCACUCCCUAUGCCCGUCAUCCCUCUCACUCCCUAUGCCCGUCAUUCCUCUAUCCCUCUCACUCCCUAUGCCCGUCAUCCCUCUAUCCCUCUCACUCCCUAUGCCCGUCAUCCCUCUGUCCCUCACUCCCUAUGCCCGUCAUCCCUCUAUCCCUCACUCCCUAUGCCAAUCAUCCCUCUAUCCCUCUCACUCCCUAUGCCCGUCAUCCCUCUAUCCCUCUCACUCCCUAUGCCUGUCAUCCCUCUCACUCCCUAUGCCUGUCAUCCCUGUAUCCCUCUCACUCCCUAUGCCCGUCAUCCCUCUCACUCCCUAUGCCCGUCAUCCCUCUAUCCCUCUCACCCCCUAUGCCUGUCAUCCCUCUAUCCCUCUCACUCCCUAUGCCCGUCAUCCCUCUAUCCCUCUCACUCCCUAUGCCCGUCAUCCCUCUAUCCCUCACUCCCUAUGCCCGCCAUCCCUCUAUCCCUCUCACUCCCUAUGCCCAUCAUCCCUCUAUCCCUCACUCCCUAUGCCCGUCAUCACUCUUUCCCUCUCACUCCCUAUGCCCAUCAUCCCUCUCACUCCCUAUGCCCGUCAUCCCUCUCACUCCCUAUGCCCGUCAUCCCUCUAUCCCUCUCACUCCCUAUGCCCGUCAUCCCUCUAUCCCUCUCACUCCCUAUGCCCGUCAUCCCUCUAUCCCUCUCACUCCCUAUGCCUGUCAUCCCUCUAUCCCUCUCACUCCCUAUGCCCGUCAUCCCUCUAUCCCUCUCACUCCCUAUGCCCGUCAUUCCUCUCACUCCCUAUGCCCGUCAUCCCUCUAUCCCUCUCACUCCCUAUGCCCGUCAUCCCUCUAUCCCUCUCACUCCCUAUGCCUGUCAUCCCUCUAUCCCUCUCACUCCCUAUGCCCGUCAUCCCUCUCACUCCCUAUGCCCGUCAUCACUCUCUCUCAUCACCCCCUAUGCCCGUCAUCCCUCUAUCCCUCUCACCCCCUAUGCCCGUCAUCCCUCUAUCCCUCUCACUCCCUAUGCCCGUCAUCCCUCUCACUCCCUAUGCCCGUCAUCCCUCUAGCCCUCUCACUCCCUAUCCCUGUCAUCCCUCUAUCCCUCUCACUCCCUAUGCCCGUCAUCCCUCUGUCCCUCACUCCCUAUGCCCGUCAUCCCUCUAUCCCUCACUCCCUAUGCCCAUCAUCCCUCUAUCCCUCUCACUCCCUAUGCCCGUCAUCCCUCUAUCCCUCUCACUCCCUAUGCCCGUCAUCCCUCUAUCCCUCUCACUCCCUAUGCCUGUCAUCCCUGUAUCCCUCUCACUCCCUAUGCCCGUCAUCCCUCUCACUCCCUAUGCCCGUCAUCCCUCUAUCCCUCUCACCCCCUAUGCCUGUCAUCCCUCUAUCCCUCUCACUCCCUAUGCCCGUCAUCCCUCUAUCCCUCUCACUCCCUAUGCCCGUCAUCCCUCACUCCCUAUGCCCGCCAUCCCUCUAUCCCUCUCACUCCCUAUGCCCAUCAUCCCUCUAUCCCUCACUCCCUAUGCCCGUCAUCACUCUAUCCCUCACUCCCUAUGCCCAUCAUCCCUCUCACUCCCUAUGCCCGUCAUCCCUCUCACUCCCUAUGCCCGUCAUCCCUCUAUCCCUCUCACUCCCUAUGCCCGUCAUCCCUUUACCCCUCUCACUCCCUAUGCCUGUCAUCCCUCUAUCCCUCUCACUCCCUAUGCCCGUCAUCCCUCUAUCCCUCUCACUCCCUAUGCCUGUCAUCCCUGUAUCCCUCUCACUCCCUAUGCCCUUCAUCCCUCUAUCCCUCUCACUCCCUAUGCCCGUCAUCCCUCUAUCCCUCUCACUCCCUAUGCCCGUCAUCCCUCUAUCCCUCUCACUCCCUAUGCCCGUAAUCACUCUCUCUCAUCACUCCCUAUGCCCGUCAUCCCUCUAUCCCUUUCACUCCCUAUGCCCUUCAUCCCUCUAUCCCUCUCACUCCCUAUGCCCGUCAUCCCUCUAUCCCUCUCACUCCCUAUGCCCGUCAUCCCUCUAUCCCUCUCACUCCUUAUGCCCGUCAUCCCUCUCACUCCCUUUGCCCAUCAUCCCUCUAUCCCUCUCACCCCCUAUGCCCGUCAUCCCUCUAUCCCUCUCACUCCCUAUGCCCGUCAUCCCUCUAUCCCUCUCACUCCCUAUGCCCGUCAUCCCUCUCACUCCCUAUGCCCGUCAUCCCUCUCACUCCCUAUGCCCGUCAUCCCUCUCACUCCCUAUGCCCGUCAUCACUCUCUCUCAUCACUCCCUAUGCCCGUCAUCCCUCUAUCCCUCUCACUCCCUAUGCCCUCUAUCCCUCUCGCUCCCUAUGCCCGUCAUCCCUCUAUCCCUCUCGCUCCCUAUGCCCGUCAUCCCUCUAUCCCUCUCACUCCCUAUGCCCGUCAUCCCUCUAUCCCUCUCACUCCCUAUGCCCGUCAUCCCUCUAUCCCUCUCACUCCCUAUGCCCGUCAUCCCUCUAUCCCUCUCACUCCCUAUGCCCGUCAUCCCUCUCACUCCAUAUGCCCGUCAUCCCUCUAUCCCUCUCACUCCCUAUGCCCGUCAUCCCUCUAUCCCUCUCACUCCCUAUGCCCGUCAUCCCUCUCACUCCCUAUGCCCGUCAUCCCUCUCACUCCCUAUGCCCGUCAUCCCUCUAUCCCUCUCGCUCCCUAUGCCCGUCAUCCCUCUAUCCCUCUCACUCCCUAUGCCCGUCAUCUCUCUCACUCCCUAUGCCUGUCAUCCCUCUAUCCCUCUCACUCCCUAUGCCCGUCAUCACUCUAUCCCUCUGUUUUUGUCUCCCACCUCCAACUUCGCAGUAUAAGGGAGACGGGAAGUGGUGAGGGUUUAACAAGCCUCUGGAGACAGGAAGUGGUGAGGGUUUAA